Molecule: long non-coding RNA, 278 nt
Organism: Sander lucioperca (pikeperch)
Lineage: Eukaryota; Metazoa; Chordata; Actinopteri; Perciformes; Percidae
Exons: 4
Source: RefSeq, a predicted model, not a curated record
UGACACUCUUCUCGUUUUGGUAAAUUCAUCAGAAUCCAUUUCGGCGCAACUGGCAACUGGCAAAGUGCUGAUAUUGAGACAUAUCUGCUGGAGAAGUCAAGAGUGACAUACCAGCUUUCUGAUGAAAGAGGCUAUCACAUCUUCUUCCAGAUGAUGACCGGCCACAUACCUGAGCUGAUUGAUUUAGCACUCAUCACAACAACCCCUAUGACUUCCCCAUGUGUAGCAUGGGUCAGAUCACUGUGGCCAGCAUUGAUGACAAAGCUGAGCUGGAAGCC